This 288-nucleotide long non-coding RNA is filed under the name Cyanistes caeruleus (blue tit). Its description in RNAcentral is "lncRNA (ENSCCEG00000017111.1)". The record is from RNAcentral. Lineage: Eukaryota; Metazoa; Chordata; Aves; Passeriformes; Paridae.
AUGCAGGAACAUUCCGUGGAUAUAGCUGUGAGAAACGCAGACACAAAGUCACUGGAAAUGCGAGGAGGAGCAGCACGACGCCUUCACGAGCCUGUGCAGCUGUUUGUGUGUGAGGAUGUGUGUACAUUUCAUUUCCUGACAUGAAUCUUCAAAGUUAUCUCCAAUCUACUUUGAGGAUGCUAAAGAAGAAGUGUGUGGUGUAAGGGAGGGUAACAUGCAUGAUUGUCCCCCGUGGAGGUUACAGGCAGAAAUAAUAAAGUGGCAAUGGAGGAAAGAAGUUUGAUGAAA